Molecule: long non-coding RNA, 247 nt
Filed under: Lathyrus oleraceus (garden pea)
Lineage: Eukaryota; Viridiplantae; Streptophyta; Magnoliopsida; Fabales; Fabaceae
Description: Pisum sativum (pea) long non-coding RNA (PSAT_LNC018018)
Source: RNAcentral
CUUGGAGUCUAGUGUAGUUCCUUAGUGAGUCAUGCUCUGGUAGAUGUAACAUCGGGACGGGAUGUUUUGCCUUGUUUUCGGUUUGGUUGUUGAAUAACCUUACAUGUAAUGUGUUACAUGUUUUGCAUGUUGUUGUUAAUUUCUAUCCGCUGCGAAUUAUGCAAAUGUUUAUUUUGAUGAAUAAAUGAGCAUGACGAGUUAAAUUGGAACAUGGUGUGAAGUGUCAAGUGUGACACCCUUAAAUUGC